GGAAUGGAAUAUCUUGGUCCCAGAGUGUGUGCUUCUCAGACAAGGCCCAGCUGUUUUCCAAGAUGACUGUACACUGAUACUCCCACAAGGAGGUGGUUCAUGAAGUUUUCCCUCCCUGUCUUCACUGAUUCUAUCAUCGGACCCGAAAACUUUUGCUGGCUGGCGAGUGUUGAUGCUGUGUCGCUGUGAAUUUACUUCCUGUUUCCCUGAUCCUGGUGAGGCUGGUGGUCUUUUCUUACGUUUGUUUCUUGGCCACUUAAAUUUCCCGUCUUGAGAAAUGCCUUGACCGGUUGCCCAUCUUUUUCUGUCGGGGUGUCUGUCUUUCAUAUUCCCUCUUCUGAAUGCCACUGAUCCUUAGGCCAGGGUGCUGUAAGUUAACUUCGGCUUCGUCAUUCUGCUCUCCUGCUUAUGCUACAGUGACUGUUGAUGAACAGUUCUUAAAUGUAACCCAAUUCCUCCUUCUAAAUUUCCCAAAUGCACUUUGUCUAAAGAUGCCUGUAUUUGUGUAACUCUUGGAGGAUGUUUUCAUUGGGCGUGGAAGUCUCUCUAAGUUGGCGGUUGUUUUCCUCCUGCGUAUUGAAGUUAUUGUCCACCAUGUUCUGCCUCAUUUCGCAAGUUCAGCUGUUGCUCAUUUUAAAAUAAGCUGUCCGAUGUUUUCUGACUGCUUUCAAGGUAUUUAUCUUUAUCUCUGGUCUUCUGAAGUUUUACUAUAAAAUGUCUUGAUGGGGAUGUCUUUUUUGUCAUUGUCAGGUUUGGAAUCUCUGCUGGGCUUCUGGAAUUCUCGGAGCCUUUAUCUGUAAACUCCUCUUCUGUCUCGUUUUCUCUCUCCUGGUUCUCUUGGAACUCCAGUUAAAUAUGUGAUAAAUCCUCACCACAACCACUGUUUUCUCUCUCUUUGUCUCUUGAUGUUGUAUUCUAGGUAGUGUCUUUUGGCCCGUCUUCCAGUUUAGUAAUUUUCUUGGUUACUGUUAAAUCUGGUCCACUGAGAUCUUUUUCUUUUUCUUUUUUUUUUUUUUGUCUUUUUGCCAUUUCUUGGGCCGCUCCCGCAGCACAUGGAGGUUCCCAGGCUAGGGGUCCAAUUGGAGCUGUAGCCGUCAGCCUGCUUCAGAGCCACAGCAACGCGGGAUCCGAGCUGCGUCUGCAACCUACACCACAGCUCACGGCAACGCCGGAUCGUUAACCCACUGAGCAAGGGCAGGGACAGAACCCGCAAGCUCAUGGUUCCUAGUCGGAUUCGUUAACCACUGCGCCACAAUGGGAACUCCCACUGGGAUCUUAAUUUGGGUUACGAUAUUUUCCAGAUCUAGGAUUUCUGUUUGUUCUUUUCAGGUAUGCUUUUUAUUGUUUCUAGUAUCCUGCUUGAUUGUUAUUUCUUUGAAUAUGGUCUACAUAAUUUUAUAUUCUGCCUCUGAUCAUUUCAGAAUUUAAAAUAAUUGUGGAUCUGAGUUUAUUGACAGUUGCUUUUUCUGUUUCUUCGUCAUGGUGUCUUGUUUUCUUGUGUGCCUGUAUGUUUCACAAUAAUGCUGAGCAUUGUAUUUGGAAAGUAUUAUAGGACUGUGUUGAGGCCUAGGAUGGGAUCUUCCCCCAUAGGGUUUUCACUUACUUCUGUCCGAUGCCUCGGGGGCACUGCCAGUGUAGAACACCUUAAUCCAAGUUCAAGAUUUGCAUUUCCUGGACUAUUCAGGCGACCCAAAGUCAGAUUAUAAGAGCUGUGUUACAGUUCCCAUGUAGCGCCGUGGGUUAAGGGUCCAGUGGUGUCACUGCAGUGGCCCAGGGGUGCAGGUUUGAACUGCACAUAGCAGUAGUUUCCAUAUAACUGCGGGCACAACCAAAGAAAGGAGCUAUAGCGUGGGAAGGCUCCUGUCCCUCUGGUUUGCCUUUUCCCCUGUGAAUGGAGUUUUAUUCUCCUAGCCCAAGUAGGCCAUCGCAUGUGUGACUUAGUUUCGUAACUAUUUCUUCCAGGUAGGGUGUGUCCUCAGGGCAAAAAUAAAAGGUUCCAUUUAUCGGGUGGCCCUCCUGAGUUUCUUGUCUUCUCUUAGACUUUGACUUGGUAAUUCUUUACUAUCUCUGUCACUUCUUUGAUGUUUAUAUGAUAUUUUUGUUUUUAUUAAUCCAGCUUUUUUAGCUGACACAAGGGAGAAUUUAUCCAGCUCGUUUAGUCUACCCUUAUCGAGAUCAGAGGUCCUUAUGUAAAUUUCUGAGAGCAGGGAUUUUGUUUUGUUCACCUUGUUUUCCUAGAAGAGUUGUGGGAUACAGCAUCAAGUCAGUAUUCACUGAAUGGCUCAGUGAAUAAGCUAGUAUUUUAAAGGAAAUUUAACUUCCUUAUGGGGUGCAGUCCCCUUUUUGUUCUUAAAAAUAAAAUUUGGCAGUUCUUAAGCAUUUUUCUCUUCCAUAUGUAUUUUAGAAUUAGUUUGCCAAAGUCCAUAUGAACCCUGAGAUUUGACUUAGAAUUGCACUGAAUUUAGAAAGUAAUUUUUGGAGUUGUUUCCACUGUGCCACGAUGGGAGCUCCUUGUUCAAGAAGUUUUAGUCUCCUGCAGAUGGUGUGUGUAAAUGUUUCAUAUCUGGCUUUCCAUGCAGGGCGUGUGUGUGUGUGUGUGUGUGUGUGUGUGUGUUGCCAGAGGCACGGGUACUUAAUUUGUAGCCUUUGCCCAUUUCCAUGAUCUUCAUGCCCACAGAGUGACCAGUUGCCAGCCACCAAGUUGGGCGGAGAUGCACCCAGUCAUCUGUCGUUGUUCCAUCACACCCGUGCCGAAGUUCAGAAGCAUCAGUCUGUGUCAUUUAAUGACAGUCACCACUGUCAUUACAAGUGGAACUUCUCCCUCCCACCAUGUGACAACUGCUUUAGAAGCAGACCUAACACGUGGCUUCUCCUCCAUCUGCGAGCUCUGACUUUUAAAUCCUAAAGACUUUGUUAUUUAACAGAAGAGUCGCCCACGAUACCGCUCUCUGUAGUAAAGAUCACCCAGUCCCUUGUAUGUCCUGGUUGCUCUCAGCAGAAGAUGAAAUGGUUACGGGUCAACAGAACUCACUUGUAGGAGUGGAAGCACAACCUUCAGCGUAGAAAGUUGUUUGGAGGCGUGUUUUGUCUUGGACUUUAGUAUUGGAGCUGUUCCAAAAACUGAAAACAUGCCAAGAAACACUCCUUACCGUUAGAUAAAAGCCUGGUGGAAACGAAGGUCUCAUGGCAGUUCCAGAAUGUCUCCACUUGCCUAUUUGUGGCGAUAGUAGAACUCUAGUAUAUUCACAAGUCAGCUCCCGGCCCACCUCCCGUCUGUAGCCCAGACCUGUGCGUGCCUUUUGAACCCCUGGGUAUACACGUUUCUCCUGUCUUCAGUCUCUGGGGAGAAGGUUGUUUGUAAAGCAAAAGGGCAUUCCGUUCUCGAUGCCAAAAUGCCCAAGUGGCUUGGUUCCUGCCCAUAGAACCAAUGCCAUGGGCGAGGCUUGGAAAAACCAGUUCCUUUCGCAUUAACUGAGGACCGCCUGCUCUCUGUCCCUCCCCUGAACCUCAGGGAAGAAAGCAGACGGAUCCCUCGUCAUUCCAGUCAUGACACGGCUAAUUUUUGUUCUGAGUCGCGGGUAACGUUCGUUCACAGGAACAGUGUCACUCCUGGUGGAUGCGCUGCCCUCUGCACGGUACCAAAUAACACUGGCGAUGGAAACGUCGUCGUCCGCUCUCAGCGCCUCUGCCAGUGAGUCGUGUGUGUUUACUCAGUAAGUAGGUGAUGGGCUUUCUGCGAUGAGGCAUCAUGGAUGGAGUCUGUCCACAUGAAUUAAGAUGAAGCCAGUAUCAUCUGACUGUAGCUGGUUAGGGGUUGGAGAUGCUCACACAUGUUUAAACUGUAAGAAAUUUUUAGUUUCAUUUUAUCACUGGAAGAGAACUUAAGUUCAAAUAAGCCAUCACCAUGGUGCUAGUAAAAUUUUUUCUUGUUAAGUUUGGUUGGCUGGUUGGUUGGUUUUCCUUUUUGGCUAGUUUUAUUGGUUGGUUGGUUGGUUGGUUGGUUCUUGGCCGCACUCGCAGCCAUGUAGAAGUUCCCUGGCCAGUGAUCGAACCCACACCACGGUUGCAGCCUGUGCCACAGCUGCAGCAAUGCCAGAUCCUUAACCCGCUGUGCCACCCGGGAACUUGUCUUGGCUGGUUGGUUUAAUGUAUAUAAUAAUCCCAGUUGAUGAACACAUCUCUAAGUAAAUGAGUUUUAUAUACCACAUGCCUGAGGUCAUUCUCAAGACUUAUUUCUUCCCCGAGUUUUUCCCUGACAGUAGCAGUUAGUGACAGUGUGACCCAGUCGUCUUAAUUGCUAUAAGUUUGCACAGCUCUUCUGCAUCGCUCUUGGCUAAUGAAUUAGAUUCUUACGUGGCUGACAUAGCGUGUCCCUGACAAGGUGACAGUGUAGAAAAGGACAGGAAGGAGAGGGAAGAAUGAAGAGGGACGUAAACUUUUGUCAGCACGCUAAGACACACGAACGUAACAUCCCAGCCUUUGUCCCAGGAAAACGGGCCCAGUGAUGAGAACAUACAGAGCACCUCUGGGUCAUUUGCCCUAAUAUUAUGAUUUGUAAUCCUCGACUGUUAAAAAAAAAUCGAUGGCAGAAAGUGAGAUGUGAGUGACGUUCUGAAGCGUCACAGCAAAGAGGCUUUUUGUCAAUCUUACAGUCAGACCUCCAGCCCAGUCCACUGGGUGGUUCUAGAAAACAGCUAAGUUACCUUUGACACCUGGAGUUGUAAGCUUCACAUAUGGAUGAAAAUGUGUUGAAGAAAUCUUGUUGCUUCACUCUUGGGGCUCCCUGACUCCCAUCACGGUGUUACCCACAAACUUUGCAUUUGAAACACAGUGAAGCAGUGGCUCUCCUUGGUGGCAAGGGAUACGUUGACAGCUUAGCUGUUCCUCUGGGAGACCUGUCCCCUGCAGGUCCCUAGAGGAUAUGUUGUUAGCAAGUGAAAAGCUCUUCAAAGAAUCACAUAUCCACAGAAAUCUGCCCCAUGGAAUAGUGUCACAGCCCAGAACACCCUCACUGGAGUUUUUGGAAGACAGACCCCCCCAAAUUCCAGAAGGCGUGGUCAGGGCUGGGCGUCUGCAGGGUGUGCGGUGUAGGCUCAUGAUUUCCAAAGGCCGGGCGAGCCAAAGCCAAGACCCUGGCUCUGUUUCUCUCUCGUGGGUUAUGAAUGGAAGCCAGAGCAAGAGGCGUGGUUCGUGUGGAGAACCACCAGGUGGCAGUGUGGAGAACGAGAGAGCGUUUCUGUCUCCUGGGAGAGGGAUGCUGGUUUAAACUGUUCUCGUCUGUAAAGGACUUUCUUUAACCUGUAAGCUCAGUGAUCAGGAAGGAAAAGGCAAAACACCUGCUUACUUCCAAUGGCGGAUCUAGCCUUUUCAAGCUUGUAGUACUGUGAUUUGGUAAUGUUUCUGAAGCUACCUGAAACCCAUUUAUUUAUAAACUGUAUUUUCAGGAGAGAUUGAAAUAAUUGUUGAAUUAUACGGCAUGAGAAGGAGAAAGAGGCAGGGAGAUCUUAGUAAAAAUUAAAUAUUAAGUUGGAACGGGACCAGGGAGAGCAUCAGAAGAUAAGAAAGGUACAGUGGAUGUUUUAACCAAAUGCUAGCCUAACCCAUUCAUCAAAGGAAAGAACAUGAGUUCUUUUUUCUUAUUUUUUCUUUUUUUCUGCUAUUUUAGGGCCACACCCGCAGCAUAUGGAGGUUCCCAGGCUAGGGGUUGAAUUGGAGCUGUAGCCGCUGGCCUAUGCCACAGCCAUAGCAACCUACGUGUCUGCAGCCUACACCACAGCUCAGGGCAACUCCAAAUCCUUAACCCACUGAGCGAGGCCAGGGAUCAGUCCUGCAUCCUCAUGGAUCCUGGUCAGGUUGGUUAACCACUGCGCCAUGACGGGAACUCCAAGAACAUUAUGUCUUAAUCACAGUGUAACCAGAUGGAGCCAUAUGAAAUUGCUGAUAUUCAGCAUCGUUGACCUAGAAAUGAUCAUGGCAUGUGGUUCAGCUUAAAUAAAACUAGAAACUAUUGGAAACGGUAAAUUGUAAAAUAUGUAAAAGCACACUAAAUUAUUCCAUGAUCUAAUCAGGAUGGUAGAUAAACAAUAAUCCAAAAUAAAGUUCUUUAAAAACCCACUGUAGUCCCCUAACCCCUAACUUCAGAUACUUUUAAUUGAAAAUAUUUUCCAUGUGCCCAGGAUGAUUUGAGAAAACUGCAAGUGCAAGGAUUUUUUUUUUUUUUUUUUUGAGAGAAAAUGAAAAUAAGUCUAGGUAGGCAGGCAUUUUCCAUUAGCCCCAAAGAAAUAGGACACCAAGCAGUGUUUUCACUUUUAAGAACCUGGAGGAGGCUGGCUGUAGAAAAGCUGGAGUGGUCACGUGCAGGUGAGUAUUAGUCUUUCUGCACGGGUGGUACAAGACCUCCUCCCGGCCAUGAUGUGACCUUGACCUGAGGGGCCCUUCUCAGGUCCUCCGCCACGUGACAGCAAGGGAGUCCACGUGUGUCUACAGAAAAAAAACAGUAUUGGGCUUGGCUGCGCCAGCCUUGCCCUGACCCGCCUCUGGGCACGGGUGUAGGUGUGGGUUCUGUCUGAGCAGGGCCAUUAGCAUGUUUCUCCUGCCAUGUCUCAUCCCUGGUUUCUGGGUCAUUUGAGACCAGCUUUCUGUGUUUGUUAACAGAUCUUAAAGGCCAUAGAAAAUAAUGAAGAGUACUUUUUGGUUGUAAACGCAGAAGGAAAGUAGACUUAUUAGUAUUUGAAAGGAAUAUCAAAUUAAAAUAUACUAUUUUCUGUAUUUAUUAAAUUGAGAAUAAUCUCAUGAUAAAUGAAGAGGCAAAAUAGUACUUUGAUAACAUUUUUACGGGGUUAAAAGCAAAAAAAAAAAA
RNAcentral lists this long non-coding RNA (6859 nucleotides) under Sus scrofa (pig). Its description in RNAcentral is "lncRNA (ENSSSCG00055011129.1)". Lineage: Eukaryota; Metazoa; Chordata; Mammalia; Artiodactyla; Suidae. The record is from RNAcentral.